Molecule: ribosomal RNA, 253 nt
Filed under: uncultured prokaryote
Description: partial 16S ribosomal RNA
Rfam family: Bacterial small subunit ribosomal RNA
Source: RNAcentral
ACGUAGGAUGCAAGCGUUGUCCGGAUUUAUUGGGCGUAAAGAGUUCGUAGGCGGAUUGUUAAGUCUGGUGUUAAAGGCGCGGGCCCAACCCGUGUACUGCACUGGAUACUGGCAGACUUGAGUGUGGUAGAGGCAAGUGGAAUUCCCAGUGUAGCGGUGAAAUGCGUAGAUAUUGGGAAGAACACCGGUGGCGCAAGCGACUUGCUGGGCCAUUACUGACGCUGAGGAACGAAAGCUAGGGGAGCGAAUGGGA